RNAcentral lists this ribosomal RNA (402 nucleotides) under uncultured prokaryote. Its description in RNAcentral is "bacterial SSU rRNA". It matches the Rfam family "Bacterial small subunit ribosomal RNA", at positions 355 to 774 of the family's 1533-position model. The record is from RNAcentral.
UAGGGAAUAUUGGUAAUGGGCGAAAGCCCGAACCAGAAACGCCGCGUGCGCGAUGAAGGCCUUCAGGUUGUAAAGCGCUUUUUAAGGGGAUGAGGAAGGACAGUACUCUUAGAAUAAGCGUCGGCUAACUACGUGCCAGCAGCCGCGGUAAAACGUAGGAGGCGAGCGUUAUCCGGAUUUACUGGGCGUAAAGCGUGUGUAGGCGGUUUGAUAAGUUGAAUGUGAAAGCUCCCGGCUCAACUGGGAGAGGUCGUUCAAAACUAUCAGACUUGAGAGUGGUAGAGGGAGGUGGAAUUCCGCGUGUAGUUGUGAAAUGCGUAGAUAUGCGGAGGAACACCAGUGGCGAAAGCGGCCUCCUGGCCCAUUUCUGCCGCUCAGACACGAAAGCUAAGGUAGCAAACG